UCUGAAAAAUAAAAAAUAUCAAACAUUGUUCUUCAUCUUUUUAAGGUUGUCUAGCGUUAUUCUCUCCUCUUCCUAUCUCUCCUUCUCUCUCUCCCUGGAGCUCGAUCUCUCUCAUCUGUCUCACAGUGGCGGCGCACUCGAGCUCUCUCCCUCUCUCGUCUCCGGUCUCGCAAUCAAGGUCGUUGUCGCUCUUCUCGUCUCCGGGACUGCUCGUCGUCGUUGCUCUCUGUCUCGUCAUUGUCUUGCACUCAGUCGCACGCCUUCGUUGUGCUCGUCGGCGGCGGCGGCAGAAGCAGUAGGUCCUGGGACUCGUCGUCUUCUUGCUUCGAGUCUCGCCGUCAGCUUCCUUCACACAAUCAGAAGCUGCUUCCCGAUUUGAAGCUGCAGGAAGUUUCUUCCUACAUAUUUUCACCUGAUUUUGGCAAGGCAAGAACAUGGAAAAGGGUCGGACACUGGUGAUUGGCGAGUACUUCAUUUGCAAAAGUUGAUAUCACUUGCUUAUCAGGUGCUGCUUACAUACUAGAAUAUACUAGCAUAAAUGUUUUACCUAUUGCACUUUGAUUGGUAUUGAAGACAAUAAUAAUUUAUUAACCGGUCGCCUUUGAUGAGUGGAGGCACUACAUUUGAUAACGGAAAUAUUGAAGUCAUGGGUGACACUGAGUAGCGAUAAUCAGAAAUCUAGAAUGCAGUCGAAAAGGUUCAUAAGAGUAAUUUGGAUAAGCUCUCCAAUUUAAUGAAAGCCUAAAGGGAAUAAAGCUUGACUUGGGUUCAGCACCUGAUGAAUUGCCGCAUCCAAAUUCUGACCAACUAAAAUGGACGGCGAUAACUUCCAGUGCCACUCAAGGUGAUACUCUUCCGCAACCACAAACAGCAGAAUCAGCCAGGAAUGUUUUCUUGGUACUAGAUCUAAAUAUGAUGCUGUCCGAGGAUGAUUCUUACAUGGACAUCCAACAUGGGAUGAGUUGAGAAAUGCCACCACGACAACAGUUGAUGCUCCAUCAUGCUAGAUUUCUGAAUGUUUGAACAAGCUGAGAAACUCCAUGUUUUCAAUCAGAGGCUUCGCAAGGUGUUAGGUUUGAACAAUUGUAGAACACUGUACAGGCCAAGAGUUUUUGUGAGGCUCUUAAUAAUAGCAAAAAUUACAAAGGAAGUCUUGAAUGGGACAAACAAACUUGAUCUAUCUGCCAACUUUGCUAAAGGAAGAAGUGGUAGUCAUGAAUUAAGUGUUUCUUUUAAUUCUUUUUUUCUUUGUUAGUUCUAGAAUUAGAGGGCUAUAUAGGUGAUGCUUAAGUAGCAAGUUUAUACUAAUUCACCAAUCAUCAAGAAGCUCUAUUAUUAUUAAUAAACUUGUAUUCCUUAUCUCA
This is a non-coding RNA of Arachis ipaensis, 1364 nucleotides long. The record is from RefSeq and is a predicted model, not a curated record. Lineage: Eukaryota; Viridiplantae; Streptophyta; Magnoliopsida; Fabales; Fabaceae.